UACGAAGGGGGCUAGCGUUACUCGGAUUGACUGGGCGUAAAGGGCGCGUAGGCGGAUGGUACAGUCAGACGUGAAAUUCCUGGGCUCAACCUGGGGGCUGCGUUUGAUACGUGCUGUCUGGAGUUCGGAAGAGGGUCGUGGAAUUCCCGGUGUAGCGGUGAAAUGCGUAGAUAUCGGGAGGAACAUCAGUGGCGAAGGCGGCUGCCUGGCCCAAUACUGACACUGAGAAGCGAAAGCAUGGGGAGCGAACAGG
This 253-nucleotide ribosomal RNA is filed under the name uncultured bacterium. RNAcentral's name for it is "partial 16S ribosomal RNA". It matches the Rfam family "Bacterial small subunit ribosomal RNA", at positions 524 to 776 of the family's 1533-position model. The record is from RNAcentral.